Molecule: long non-coding RNA, 605 nt
Filed under: Lotus japonicus
Lineage: Eukaryota; Viridiplantae; Streptophyta; Magnoliopsida; Fabales; Fabaceae
Description: long non-coding RNA (LJAP_LNC002123)
Source: RNAcentral
UUUUCACGGCAAUUGUAACAUCUCCUAUUCUUCUUCUUGUUACUUAAACUGGAACUUGGCUCCUCUGAUUUUUCCUCCAAAUUCGUCAAAGGAACUGCACGCUCCUCAUCUGGUUUUUCCUGCAAAUCCGUGAAAGGAACUGCAGGUAUUUUCUUCGGGCAUUCAGAAUCAAAAUGUCCCUUUUCAUGGCAAUUGUAACAUCUCCUAUUCUUCAUCUUGGUAUUUCCAGUGGAUCUUGGCUCCUCGUCUGGUUUUUCCUCCAAAUUCGUCAAAGGAACUGCACGCUCCUCAUCUGGUUUUUCCUGCAAAUCCGUGAAAGGAACUGCAGGUAUUUUCUUCGGGCAUUCAGAAUCAAAAUGUCCCUUUUCAUGGCAAUUGUAACAUCUCCUAUUCUUCAUCUUGGUAUUUCCAGUGGAUCUUGGCUCCUCGUCUGGUUUUUCCUCCAAAUUCGUCAAAGGAACUGCACGCUCCUCAUCUGGUUUUUCCUGCAAAUCCGUCAAAGGAACUGCAGGUAUUUUCUUCGGGCAUUGAGAAUCAAAAUGUCCCUUUUCAUGGCAAUUGUAACAUCUCCUAUUCUUCAUCUUGGUAUUUCCAGUGGAUCCCGG